RNAcentral lists this ribosomal RNA (481 nucleotides) under uncultured bacterium. RNAcentral's name for it is "partial 16S ribosomal RNA". It matches the Rfam family "Bacterial small subunit ribosomal RNA", at positions 28 to 507 of the family's 1533-position model. The record is from RNAcentral.
GAUGAACGCUGGCGGCGUGCUUAACACAUGCAAGUCGAGCGAAGCACUUUAUUUGAUUUCCUUCGGGACUGAUUAUUUUGUGACUGAGUGGCGGACGGGUGAGUAACGCGUGGGUAACCUGCCUUGUACAGGGGGAUAACAGUUGGAAACGGCUGCUAAUACCGCAUAAGCGCACAGCAUCGCAUGAUGCAGUGUGAAAAACUCCGGUGGUAUAAGAUGGACCCGCGUUGGAUUAGCUAGUUGGUGAGGUAACGGCCCACCAAGGCGACGAUCCAUAGCCGACCUGAGAGGGUGACCGGCCACAUUGGGACUGAGACACGGCCCAAACUCCUACGGGAGGCAGCAGUGGGGAAUAUUGCACAAUGGGCGAAAGCCUGAUGCAGCGACGCCGCGUGAGCGAAGAAGUAUUUCGGUAUGUAAAGCUCUAUCAGCAGGGAAGAUAAUGACGGUACCUGACUAAGAAGCACCGGCUAAAUACGUG